UUAUCACAUAUUUUGGCUAAGAAGAAAUUAUACCAGAAGUAGGAAAAGAACUAGUUCUGCCAUUUUGUUGUUGUUGCUUUUAUCUUCAUUAUUGAUCUUUUCAAUCCUUGUCCUCUUUGCAUGAUUGUUUUAAAAUCAUACGCUUGUUUCAGGCUAUGUUCUCAAGAAGCAGAACUUGAGAUGAAGAUUCCUGUGCCAGCGAUUCUUUUGAGAGAGUGAUGUCAGCUGAAACCUGUAAGGGAGUGAGAGAAACAGAAUAGGACAGAGGAAGAAGCUAGGCAAAGACAUGGGUUCAGUUGAAAUCUAUCUUCAUUUUGAUCCCAUGAGCAGCUCUGGAGUGUGGAUGGCACCAUGGACUUGUCUCUUCUUGAGGCAAGGAAGCAAGCUUUAGUAUUCCUGUAUUAUUCAGUCGUGGGCUAUGGGCCGCCUGGAGUUAGUGCAGGAGGGUGGUGGCAGAGUGUGAUGUUCCUGAUUAGGUAGCAUCCAUCAUUUAUGGUCAGUUCUUCACAGAAAGAUACAGGUAUGAACUGGUAGCAGCCAAGAGUCACAGCAUGUAGGGAAUGGGGACCAUGACCAGUAAGUAGAAUCUGGGCAGGGAACCAACACCCAUUUUUUGAAGUUACUUAAGGCUAAAUAUUAUAAUUGGGAAAUCUUUUACUUAACCAUUGUACAAUGUGUCAGCUGAAAAUGAACAAACAAGUGAGAGUGACACUUAGGGAAUUCAUGCUCUUGUCCCUGAUACUCCCUACCUGAUGUGACCAUCAGGCCUUCAGACUGGUGAAGAUGCAAAUGUCAACCUACACACUAAUCUUAGUGUAGCAUAAACACACCUGAGAGCAAUAAGUGAAGCCUACCCUGAGAAUGACCCUGUAUGGCAGAUGCAUCUGAAUGUGUGUUCUAAGCUAGGGAAUCUGGGAGUGGCCAACCUGGACAUUUUUUCCUUAUCAAUGAUGAACAUCUGAACCCCUGUCCUGCCCUGUUCAUGGCAGUGGCAGCCCAUCUGGAGCAGCCUCUCUGACAAUGCUGGCUGCAGCCGGGAGGCGCGGCUGAGUGGGGUCUGAGGGCAGCUCAGUGCUGGGCUGCAGGCACCACUCUGCAAGAGCAGCCUGGGCACCAUGAACAGUGGCAGGAGGCAGGCAGGCUCCUGGGUGGAAAGGGGAAGGUCCCUGGUGAAGCCCCGCCUUCAAGCUGGGGAAGGCGUGAAGCCUGGGGACCAGGCUGCCAGCCCUGCAGACCAGAGUGGGAAUUUGUGCUUUUUUCUGGGCCCGCCCAUGGCUGCCUGUGGACCAAUCAGCAAGCACUUCCUUGCUGAUAAAAACCUGACUCAGCCAGACUCAGGGAGAUGACAGGAUGACCAGCUAUGGAGAGGAGCUACCCACCCCAGGGUCUCCUCUCUGCUGAGAGCCGAACACUUGAUGGGACACCCUCCCUUCAAAGAGGAGCUACCCACUGUGGGUCUCUGAGCUGUUCUGUUGCUCAGUAAAGCUCUUCUUCGCCUUGCUCACCCUCCACUUGUCCACGUACCUCAUUCUUUCUGGACACAGGACGAGAACUCAGGACCUGCCGCAUGGCGGGUCUAAAAGAGCUGUAACACAAACAGGGCUGAAACACACCCCUUGCUUGCCACAUUGCAGGAGACAAGGAGAGAAGAGCUGUGGCCCUUUGAUGAGCUCAGACCUAGAAGCUCCCCAAGCCAAGGCUGUGACAUACUCUUUGACACUGCAUUUCCUGGCAUCUCCAAGCUUCUGGGCAGCACCACGUUCCCCAGUGCCAGCUGUGGAAGCUACUUGUGGUACACCUGGUUCAGCUGCAGCUUCGCAGGGAGCCAGUGCCCGUGGUGGUGCCUGGAGCUGCCUGCCCUACUGCAGCCGAUGUGCCUGGCUGUUUGCAGUGGCUGGACCCCGUGCUCACUUGCUCACACACCUGUCACCACUCCACUCCACUCAUCUCAGAAGGUGUGGGAUCUUGGCAGGUAGCAUGAGCUGAGCACAGCCUGACAGGCUGAUUCGGCCCAAUGGGCCUGAGCAAAACUCAGGCAAAGGCGCCACUGGCCACAGAGGUUUCCGGCUGGAAAAGCAACACCCCCAAGGAUCCCAUAACACAGUGGACCAGGGGCCAUACAGGGGAUUUAGGCCCUGAGUUU
This 2143-nucleotide long non-coding RNA is filed under the name Homo sapiens (human). Its description in RNAcentral is "HSALNT0212119". The record is from RNAcentral. Lineage: Eukaryota; Metazoa; Chordata; Mammalia; Primates; Hominidae.